GAUGAACGCUGGCGGCGUGCCUAAUACAUGCAAGUCGAGCGAACAGACGAGGAGCUUGCUCCUCUGACGUUAGCGGCGGACGGGUGAGUAACACGUGGAUAACCUACCUAUAAGACUGUGAUAACUUCGGGAAACCGGAGCUAAUACCGGAUAAUAUAUUGAACCGCAUGGUUCAAUAGUGAAAGACGGUUUUGCUGUUACUUAUAGAUGGAUCCGCGCCGCAUUAGCUAGUUGGUAAGGUAACGGCUUACCAAGGCGACGAUGCGUAGCCGACCUGAGAGGGUGGUCGGCCACACUGGAACUGGGACACGGUCCAGACUCGUACGGGAGGCAGCAGUAGGGAAUCUUCCGCAAUGGGCGAAAGGCUGACGGAGCAACGCCGCGUGAGUGAUGAAGGUCUUCGGAUCGUAAAACUCUGUUAUUAGGGAAGAACAAAUGUGUAAGUAACUAUGCACGUCUUGACGGUACCUAAUCAGAAAGCCACGGCUAACUACGUG
This 497-nucleotide ribosomal RNA is filed under the name uncultured bacterium. RNAcentral describes it as "partial 16S ribosomal RNA". It matches the Rfam family "Bacterial small subunit ribosomal RNA", at positions 28 to 507 of the family's 1533-position model. The record is from RNAcentral.